Long non-coding RNA from Syngnathus typhle (broad-nosed pipefish), 2030 nucleotides. RefSeq lists it as uncharacterized. Lineage: Eukaryota; Metazoa; Chordata; Actinopteri; Syngnathiformes; Syngnathidae. The record is from RefSeq and is a predicted model, not a curated record. The transcript has 4 exons.
CGUCGUAGCCGUCCGCCCUCUAAUGCAUCAAGUGGCCCUACCCUUGACCCCCGAGCAGCUAACAUCCGCCGAAGCCGACAUUUCGCCGGCACUCCGGCAAAUAUUUGCAUUUAAUCCCAGAGGCGCGGUCUCAUGGGUGCUGCUCAACAUCCUUCAUCGGAUGCUACGCUUAUCUUGCCCUCUUCAAGGUGCCCUUGGUUGCGCGUUGCGAGCCAAGAUGCUCCAGGUUGCAGCAACGAGCGAUUGGCUGACGAGCGCUCGCCUCAAGCUGCUCGGAAAAAAACACGCUCAAGUCAAGCGGUGGCAGAAAGAGGCCAGGAAAGCUCAAAGAGCAGCCAAAAUGGCGAAAUCUUGCCGUUUGUUUUUCCCUCAACGGUUGGGUCGCUGGCGGCCUAAUCGAAGCAGAUAGCGCCUAACGCUCACUUGCGCGGGAGCCGUCGUGCCCACCAAAAGUCGCUGCAUGUUGGUGAUAAUGCGCCUGCGUUUUCUUGUCUCCGCACUUUUCACGCUGAUAGCGCUCGUGUUCAUUUUGUUGUCUUGAUCGUUGCCUCGAAAGCUUCCCCACACUUAAUUGUUUAAGUAACCAAAACACGGCUAGCAGCCUCAACCAUUAGCGGCGCUAGCGAGGCGUCGUCUCAUGUCAAGAAGAGGAAGAGAAACGUUUGAAUGUUCAUGUUUGUCUUUUCUUCACACUCCGGUGGUGAAAACUUCCUAAGUGGGUGAUUUAUUGCCAACACGCAAGCCAAAGCUCAUGUCAGCUUUUCUUUUUUUGGUCUUCCUCGGAGGCCUCUGAAAGCAUUUGUUUGAUCUCGCUCUCCUAGCAGAAAGCAGGCCACUGGCUUUUGGCUCCAAUAAGGGCGCAAAAGCCCAAAAGCGCCCGAUCGCCCUUUGACAGCUCGUCAUUUGUGGCAAGCGGGGCACGUGUUUAUGUUUAGCUCCACGCAAGCAACUGAUGGGCUCCCGUGUGCAGAUGAAAGCUAUUUAUGACUCCCACUAUCAGAUUUGCCCCACUCGGAUUUCACCCCUGAACGGCGCACGGGGGCCGGCCGGCACCGAGCCAGCUUCUACACUCUGGCCUGCAACAUCAUCAAUCUUUCCACAGACGCCCUCAACAAAAGCUGUUUGGCAUCAACAUACUUUUACUUUCCACUGCUCCCUACCAAGUACGUCAGGUGAGUACAACAGAUUCCAUCUCGAGUUGCGCACUACUAGAUUAGUCUGACUUCACUGCUGGCCUUUUCCUCACUUUCACUUUCCUUGGCGACGCUCACGGUACAUCCUGUCCGCUCGUUUGCUGACACCGAGAUGACAUCAUCGCCGGGGCAACCCCCCCCGAAAUGUUGCAGACAAAGGCCCCCGAGCAGCGUCGGCUAUCCGCACAUCGGCGUGGACGCAGCACUUUUGCAAAUCCCUAACCAGAUUAGCGCCGCGCCCCAAUAGGCUGUCACGCCCGCACAUGGCUGGGGAGGCCCGAGGGCGGCCCUAAAUACCCAGAAAGGCUUUCUGGCUUUGGCGUCGAUGGUUCAAAUGGUGCCGUGACGCAGGCGGGUCAGCAUGACCAGGCAAAAGAACAAGAUCAAAAGUGGAAGCAGGCCACCAGCUAAUGAUUGACGGUCUUCACACAAAACUGUUACACAUUACUCUCCCCAAAAUAUUUGAGCCCCACUGAUCGGGAGUCUACCCAAAAGCCUGACGAGGUAUUCGCGGAACGCACGGCUCAAACAUUAACGUUGUUGAACUCGGUAGUUGCCGCCGUGACUCUGAAUUUGCACGUUCAAGGGUCGCGGAGGGAGAGCCCCCCCCUUCGACCCCUUCCUCCACGGCGUGUCAAUAACAUGGCCAUCACGAGACGCAGACACCUUCAUUUGAUUGAGAGGGUCAACAGCUGUGGGCCGAGAGAGCGACGGCCUAAUUCCUGACUGACUGAUUGACAGCCUGACGAAUAAAAAGUGAAAAUAUUUCGCAAGACUUCAAGGAUGCUCGAACACUGCCGGCUUGUUAAUGUCUAAACUGAAUAAACAUCUCUCUUA